ACCACAAAGUUUGGUAUGUUGUCCAGAGGUUACAGGCGGCUGAAGCUUGCCUCUCCUUGGCGGCGGUGGGGGAGUCUUGCUCUGGCGAGGCGUGCGAGGUGAACGAGUGACGGGCGUGCUGCCCCCUGAACUUUUCCGCUCCACUACAACUUCUCUCUGAAGAUAUGAACAGAUAAACCCGCCGUGAGUCUGGGUGGUGGGGGAGGAGCGCCAUCUCCGGCCGCCGAGAUGACGGCGCCGAUUCUGGGCAGACCAGCGCCGCCCUGAGCUGCCGAGUCCCACAAGCCACCCUGGCGUCGCUCGUUUUGUUCCUCUCGAGCUUUCCCCAUGAAAAUACAGGAAUUUUU
Long non-coding RNA from Hyalella azteca, 347 nucleotides. RefSeq lists it as uncharacterized. The record is from RefSeq and is a predicted model, not a curated record. Lineage: Eukaryota; Metazoa; Arthropoda; Malacostraca; Amphipoda; Hyalellidae. The transcript is spliced from 2 exons.